AUUGAACGCUGGCGGCAGGCCUAACACAUGCAAGUCGAGCGAGCGGCGGACGGGUGAGUAAUGUCUGGGAAACUGCCUGAUGGAGGGGGAUAACUACUGGAAACGGUAGCUAAUACCGCAUACCAUCAGAUGUGCCCAGAUGGGUUUGGCUAGUAGUGGGGGUAACGGCUCACCUAGGCGACGAUCCCUAGCUGGUCUGAGAGGAUGACCAGCCACACUGGAAUUGAGACACGGUCCAGACUCCUAGGGGAGGCAGCAGUGGGGAAUAUUGCACAAGGGGGGCAGGCCUGAGGCAGCCAGGCCGCGUGUGUGAAGAAGGCCUCCGGUUUGUAAAGCACGUUCAGCGGGGAGGCGUUACCCGCAGAAGAAGCACCGGCUAACUCCGUGCCAGCAGCCGCGGUAAUUC
RNAcentral lists this ribosomal RNA (406 nucleotides) under uncultured bacterium. RNAcentral's name for it is "partial 16S ribosomal RNA". It matches the Rfam family "Bacterial small subunit ribosomal RNA", at positions 29 to 526 of the family's 1533-position model. The record is from RNAcentral.